GUCUGUAUUGAAAGAUGAGACGAUUAGCACUCCCCUUGACAAGGAUGGAACACAUAAAUUGGUUAAUGCACAUCUUGACCACAUUUUU
RNAcentral lists this non-coding RNA (88 nucleotides) under Papilio xuthus (Asian swallowtail). The record is from RNAcentral. Lineage: Eukaryota; Metazoa; Arthropoda; Insecta; Lepidoptera; Papilionidae.